AUCCAGCUGACGAGUCUCAAAUGGGACGAAACGCGCAUCCUGGAU
This 45-nucleotide non-coding RNA is filed under the name Schistosoma mansoni. The record is from RNAcentral. Lineage: Eukaryota; Metazoa; Platyhelminthes; Trematoda; Strigeidida; Schistosomatidae.